Molecule: long non-coding RNA, 274 nt
Organism: Paramisgurnus dabryanus
Lineage: Eukaryota; Metazoa; Chordata; Actinopteri; Cypriniformes; Cobitidae
Source: RefSeq, a predicted model, not a curated record
CUUAUAACUGCUUCUCCCCCCUUCAUGAGACCGGAUGCUAUGUUGGGAUCACCUGGGCCUCCAUCGCCCGGCAUGUACACGCUACAUCAGGUGUAGGUGAACAACAUCAGAGUGCGGCAGUCAGAGAUCCUAAAGAAGGACUCCAUAUGUUUAGUCGAGACAGUACGCCGUACAUCUCUUACGACAAGGAUAUUUGUUUCAGGACCCCUUUCCCGAUACUGACAAGGACAUUUAAGCAAUUAUGUGAGCUGCAGUCUGGAUCCUGCCUCUGUCA